CUGGAGUACAUCUGUUAUGACACAUUUGAAGAAGCAGAUACAGUUGUAUGGGAUCCAGAUGACAGCCUUGUUAGAAUAGAUCAGGAUGAGGCGGCAGUAACCAUUGGGAGUACUGAGAUGUAUGGAGGGACUGAACAGGCUUCACAACUCCUGUUGCCUUCUGCCAAUGAACUGGCUUCACAAGUUGUACAGUCCCUACAAGAGGAGGGAGCGCAGACUGCACAGGAUAAUGGACGACAUCGUUUACCGCAAGACUUGUUCUCAAUUUCAAGCAGUCAGCUAUCCCCUUCAACCUCACCUAACAAUCUAGGAGAUCCAAGGACACCAUGGCAUGCAUCCAUUUGUAGGAUCAAGGUUGUUGAUGAUCUUUUGUCUGUGUUUAUGGACAGCAGCAUAAUGGAAUUCAAUUUAAAGAUUAAGUUUGUAAAUGAAAAAGCUAUUGAUGAUGCUGGUGUGUCAAGGGAGGGCUACAGUGCAUUCUGGGAACAAUUUCUUGAACAGUGUGAAGGGGAAACAGAGCGGGUUCCAAGGCUAAGGCCAGAUUUCUGUGAGGCUGAAUGGCAAGCGGUUGGGCGGAUCUGGGUGAAAGGAUUAUUAGACCAUGGUGUCAUGCCAGUGAGGCUAUCAAAGGCUUUCAUGUUAGCCUGCAUCCAUGGCAUUGACUCAGUUGAUCGAGACGUCCUAAUUUCAUCAUUCCUUAACUACCUUCCUCCCAUUGAGAGGUCAGCAGUUGACAAGGGCCUCCAGGGCACAAUGGAGGAAAGUGAUGAAGA
Molecule: long non-coding RNA, 773 nt
Organism: Hippocampus comes (tiger tail seahorse)
Lineage: Eukaryota; Metazoa; Chordata; Actinopteri; Syngnathiformes; Syngnathidae
Exons: 3
Source: RefSeq, a predicted model, not a curated record